Molecule: ribosomal RNA, 406 nt
Filed under: uncultured bacterium
Lineage: Bacteria
Description: partial 16S ribosomal RNA
Rfam family: Bacterial small subunit ribosomal RNA
Source: RNAcentral
AUUGAACGCUGGCGGCAGGCCUAACACAUGCAAGUCGAGCGAGCGGCGGACGGGUGAGUAAUGUCUGGGAAACUGCCUGAUGGAGGGGGAUAACUACUGGAAACGGUAGCUAAUACCGCAUACCAUCAGAUGUGCCCAGAUGGGAUUAUCUAGUAGGUGGGGUAACGGCUCACCUAGGCGACGAUCCCUAGCUGGUCUGAGAGGAUGACCAGCCAAACUGAAACGCGGACACGGUCCAAAUCCCAACGGGAGGCAGCAGUGGGGAAUAUGGAACAUGGGGCGCAAGCCUGAUACAGCCAUGCCGGGUGGGUGAAAAGGGCCUUCGGGUUGUAAAGCACUUUCAGCGGGGAGGCGUUACCCGCAGAAGAAGCACCGGCUAACUCCGUGCCAGCAGCCGCGGUAAUUC